Molecule: ribosomal RNA, 759 nt
Filed under: Priestia megaterium
Lineage: Bacteria; Bacillati; Bacillota; Bacilli; Caryophanales; Bacillaceae
Description: bacterial SSU rRNA
Rfam family: Bacterial small subunit ribosomal RNA
Source: RNAcentral
UGCGGGUCUAAUACAUGCAAGUCGAGCGAACUGAUUAGAAGCUUGCUUCUAUGACGUUAGCGGCGGACGGGUGAGUAACACGUGGGCAACCUGCCUGUAAGACUGGGAUAACUUCGGGAAACCGAAGCUAAUACCGGAUAGGAUCUUCUCCUUCAUGGGAGAUGAUUGAAAGAUGGUUUCGGCUAUCACUUACAGAUGGGCCCGCGGUGCAUUAGCUAGUUGGUGAGGUAACGGCUCACCAAGGCAACGAUGCAUAGCCGACCUGAGAGGGUGAUCGGCCACACUGGGACUGAGACACGGCCCAGACUCCUACGGGAGGCAGCAGUAGGGAAUCUUCCGCAAUGGACGAAAGUCUGACGGAGCAACGCCGCGUGAGUGAUGAAGGCUUUCGGGUCGUAAAACUCUGUUGUUAGGGAAGAACAAGUACAAGAGUAACUGCUUGUACCUUGACGGUACCUAACCAGAAAGCCACGGCUAACUACGUGCCAGCAGCCGCGGUAAUACGUAGGUGGCAAGCGUUAUCCGGAAUUAUUGGGCGUAAAGCGCGCGCAGGCGGUUUCUUAAGUCUGAUGUGAAAGCCCACGGCUCAACCGUGGAGGGUCAUUGGAAACUGGGGAACUUGAGUGCAGAAGAGAAAAGCGGAAUUCCACGUGUAGCGGUGAAAUGCGUAGAGAUGUGGAGGAACACCAGUGGCGAAGGCGGCUUUUUGGUCUGUAACUGACGCUGAGGCGCGAAAGCGUGGGGAGCAAACAGGAUUAG